Molecule: ribosomal RNA, 263 nt
Filed under: uncultured bacterium
Lineage: Bacteria
Description: partial 16S ribosomal RNA
Rfam family: Bacterial small subunit ribosomal RNA
Source: RNAcentral
GUCCACGCCGUAAACGAUGACAACUAGGUGUCGGGCAUCUAAGGAUGUUCGGUGCCGCAGCUAACGCGAUAAGUUGUCCGCCUGGGGAGUACGGCCGCAAGGCUAAAACUCAAAGGAAUUGACGGGGGCCCGCACAAGCAGCGGAGCGUGUGGUUUAAUUCGAUGCAACGCGAAGAACCUUACCUGGCCUUGACAUGCAGGUUGUAGGGAACCGAAAGGGGACCGACCCUCGGGAGCCUGCACAGGUGCUGCAUGGCUGUCGU